Molecule: ribosomal RNA, 491 nt
Filed under: uncultured bacterium
Lineage: Bacteria
Description: partial 16S ribosomal RNA
Rfam family: Bacterial small subunit ribosomal RNA
Source: RNAcentral
GUGAACGCUGGCGGUAGGCCUAACACAUGCAAGUCGAACGGCAGCACAGUAAGAGCUUGCUCUUACGGGUGGCGAGUGGCGGACGGGUGAGGAAUACAUCGGAAUCUACUUUUUCGUGGGGGAUAACGUAGGGAAACUUACGCUAAUACCGCAUACGACCUACGGGUGAAAGCAGGGGAUCUUCGGACCUUGCGCGAUUGAAUGAGCCGAUGUCGGAUUAGCUAGUUGGCGGGGUAAAGGCCCACCAAGGCGACGAUCCGUAGCUGGUCUGAGAGGAUGAUCAGCCACACUGGAACUGAGACACGGUCCAGACUCCUACGGGAGGCAGCAGUGGGGAAUAUUGGACAAUGGGCGCAAGCCUGAUCCAGCCAUACCGCGUGGGCGAAGAAGGCCUUCGGGUUGUAAAGCCCUUUUGUUGGGAAAGAAAAGCAGCAGGUUAAUACCCCGCUGUCCUGACGGUACCCAAAGAAUAAGCACCGGCUAACUUCGUG